This 253-nucleotide ribosomal RNA is filed under the name uncultured bacterium. RNAcentral describes it as "partial 16S ribosomal RNA". It matches the Rfam family "Bacterial small subunit ribosomal RNA", at positions 524 to 776 of the family's 1533-position model. The record is from RNAcentral.
UACGUAGGGGGCUAGCGUUGUCCGGAAUCAUUGGGCGUAAAGCGCGUGUAGGCGGUUCGGUAAGUCCGCUGUGAAAGUCGGGGGCUCAACCCUCGAAUGCCGGUGGAUACUGUCGGACUAGAGUACGGAAGAGGCGAGUGGAAUUCCUGGUGUAGCGGUGAAAUGCGCAGAUAUCGGGAGGAACACCAGUGGCGAAGGCGGCACUCUGGGCCGGUACUGACGCUGAGGAGCGAAAGCGUGGGGAGCGAACAGG